Molecule: non-coding RNA, 29 nt
Filed under: Rattus norvegicus (Norway rat)
Lineage: Eukaryota; Metazoa; Chordata; Mammalia; Rodentia; Muridae
Source: RNAcentral
UGCAUCUAUCCUACGCUCUGAAUAGGUCU